UAUUAAUAGACUUGUAUAAAAUAAAACUAGGACUUACCCAAGUCACUUAUAAAGAGGUGUGAAAUUACAUCAUUGUUGCACGUGCUAGUUUUGGCUAAUGUUGCUCGCAUUUAAGAUAGCACAGGCCAGGCUGUGGAAGGCAUCCAGUCUGAGGAGAAAACAAUAAGCAAGCUAGCAGGUGUGUGUAAGCAAGCUAGCAAGGGUAGCAUAGCAGUGUCAUUGAGGGGGGCCACCUAAUCCUGAGAGAAGUGUAACCCGCCCUGCUUCACACUGCCCGCUGCGGGGCUCAAACACAGGACCUUCGCAAUGGGAGACGAGAGCGCUGACCACACGGCCAAAAGCCCGGACUGUCGACCGCGCGUUCUGCGCAGAUCUUAAGGCAGAGGUAGUGAGGUUUUACUAAAGUACACUUGCGCAGCCUCACAGGCUGGCAUCCGUUACGGAAGCAUUAAAAUAUCUCCAGUAGUAUCAGAAUAGUGUUCUAUUACUCAGUCAAUCGCAGGGCACAUAUAGACAAACGAUCAUUCACACUCACAUUCAUACCUAUGGACAAUUUAGAGUCGCCAAUUAAUCUAACAUGCAUGUUUUGGAAUGUGGGAGGAAGCAGGCUUGAAAUGUACAAAAUUCUCCACUAGGUGGGGCGACUGCAGUAUAAUUGUGCCUUGUGUUGUGGAAUGUACUGUAAGUGAGAAGUUUAUCUAACCACAGCUUUCUAAUUUAUGGCAAAUUUUGGCUGAGGAAGUGUCGAGCUGGCAGAUGGAAUUUGGGCAAAAGGUAGAUACCGUGGUUUCGGGAGGCACAUUGAAGAUCCUGAAUCUGAAUUUUAGAUUAAUUCUAAGCCUAAUUUUCAGUAUCUAAUAUUGGGAAAAAAAGCAAACUAGUAAUGUUUAUUAAUUCAUUUUAGUUCCUAGUCGUGUUUGACAUGCUUCACGUGUGUACAAGAUGAGUUGUAUGGAACAUGAUGAAUGUAUGCAUUGUCCUGCUAAGGUCAUAUACUGUUAUCGAGAAAGGCAUUUACCAGUCCGGCCUGCUGCCACUGAGUAUAAAUUGAUCAAAGACAGUACAUAUAUGGUAACCCGUGAGGGGUUAUAUGUCGAUUUAGUUUCUAUUUCGACCAGCGUGUCUUGCUUCAGUACUUGGCAGACACAAGUGUGUAUUGAAUUCUGCAUGUGCUGUUCACAUGUUUUACUCAGUGGGUCAGAGUUAAUUAAUGCGUCUGCUUGCCCACACGGGUGAAACAUGAUUCUAACAAGGUCUGAAAAGGCGAGUUCAGCUGACUGUUAGUGUUGUGGGAUAGCUUAAAUUUCCAAGCGUAAUUCUUCCAUGACUGUAUCAGUUAGCACAGCACUGGUGCUGACAGUUGCAGUGUUAUUGGUUUGCAGCAGAGUCUUGCCUUACAUUCAAGAUUAUUUUUUUUUAGAUUCUCCCUUGGCAACCUUCGUUCAGAACCUUCACAAAUGGCAUUGGCUUCUUGAUAUUUGCUUAGA
Long non-coding RNA from Dunckerocampus dactyliophorus (ringed pipefish), 1487 nucleotides. RefSeq lists it as uncharacterized. NCBI's taxonomy places the organism in Eukaryota, Metazoa, Chordata, Actinopteri, Syngnathiformes, Syngnathidae. The transcript is spliced from 4 exons. The record is from RefSeq and is a predicted model, not a curated record.